GAUUGCAGUAGGGAAUCUUCCGCAAUGGACGCAAGUCUGACGGAGCAACGCCGCGUGAGUGAAGAAGGUUUUCGGAUCGUAAAACUCUGUUGUUAGAGAAGAACAAGUGCUAGAGUAACUGUUAGCGCCUUGACGGUAUCUAACCAGAAAGCCACGGCUAACUACGUGCCAGCAGCCGCGGUAAUACGUAGGUGGCAAGCGUUGUCCGGAUUUAUUGGGCGUAAAGCGAGCGCAGGCGGUUCUUUAAGUCUGAUGUGAAAGCCCCCGGCUCAACCGGGGAGGGUCAUUGGAAACUGGGGAACUUGAGUGCAGAAGAGGAGAGUGGAAUUCCAUGUGUAGCGGUGAAAUGCGUAGAUAUAUGGAGGAACACCGGUGGCGAAAGCGGCUCUCUGGUCUGUAACUGACGCUGAGGCUCGAAAGCGUGGGGAGCGAACAGGAUUAGAUACCCUGGUAGUCCACGCCGUAAACGAUGAGUGCUAGGUGUUGGGUCCUUUCCGGGAUUCAGUGCCGCAGCUAACGCAUUAAGCACUCCGCCUGGGGAGUACGACCGCAAGGUUGAAACUCAAAGGAAUUGACGGAU
This 580-nucleotide ribosomal RNA is filed under the name uncultured bacterium. RNAcentral describes it as "bacterial SSU rRNA". It matches the Rfam family "Bacterial small subunit ribosomal RNA", at positions 347 to 918 of the family's 1533-position model. The record is from RNAcentral.